ACAGGAUAUAGCAUCCAGGACCUCGCUAUCUGACACCAUGAGGGGGGAAGUCUGGGUUUCUGCUUUUUGUUGUGGCGUCUCUGGUGUUGUGAGCAUCAGUGUGCCCUGCUAUGAAACAGGGCUACACAUUUGCCUGCUCCCUGCAGUAAUGCAGUUGUGUGGAGAGCCAAGAUUUAAUGCAGCAGUGUGCAGAGAAGUCAAUAAAUGGAGAUGACCAUAUGAAAUUGCAUCCUGACUCAUGAAAGAAAACUGAAGAUGCGUUCAUUGGGUAAAAAUAUGUUUUCCACUGUUCUUCUGAAAAUGUAUCUGUUCUGAAGUUUCAGUUACACAGAGGCUAUGUCCUUUAGUCUUCAAGACAGAGAGAUUUUCAUUCCUAUUUGCCUUGAUGAGGACUGGGCGCUAUUAUGGAACAUUUCCUCUUUAAAGAAAAACUUUAAAAUGGGAGAAUUUCACUUUUAAAAUUAAUCACCAUGGCAACCUUUACAGCAAAUUUCCAAACAUAGAAAGUUGCCUUUAAGAAGCAUGGUUCUCUAAGAGAAAGGUGAGUUUUUACAGCUUCUAACAAUGCUCCA
This 572-nucleotide long non-coding RNA is filed under the name Pavo cristatus (Indian peafowl). Its description in RNAcentral is "lncRNA (ENSPSTG00000005054.1)". Lineage: Eukaryota; Metazoa; Chordata; Aves; Galliformes; Phasianidae. The record is from RNAcentral.